This 393-nucleotide ribosomal RNA is filed under the name uncultured bacterium. RNAcentral describes it as "partial 16S ribosomal RNA". It matches the Rfam family "Bacterial small subunit ribosomal RNA", at positions 523 to 918 of the family's 1533-position model. The record is from RNAcentral.
AUACGGAGGAUGCGAGCGUUAUCCGGAUUUAUUGGGUUUAAAGGGUGCGUAGGCUGUGCGUUAAGUCAGGGGUGAAAUGCCGUCGCUCAACGACGGAGCUGCCCUUGAUACUGGCGUGCUGGAGUACGGAUGCCGUUGGAGGAAUGAGUGGUGUAGCGGUGAAAUGCUGAGAUAUCACUCAGAACACCGAUUGCGAAGGCAUCAGACGAAUCCGUCACUGACGCUGAGGCACGAAAGCGUGGGGAUAGAACAGGAUUAGAUACCCUGGUAUUCCACGCCGUAAACGAUGAUGACUAACCGUCGGCGAUAGACAGCCGGUGGCCAAGCGAAAGCGAUAAGUCAUCCACCUGGGGAGUACGUCGGCAACGAUGAAACUCAAAUGAAUUGACGGGG